CAGUGAGGAAUAUUGCGACAAUGGGGGAAACCCUGACGCAGCGACGCCGCGUGGAUGAUGAAGGCCUUCGGGUCGUAAAAUCCUGUCAGAUGGGAAGAAAUGCCAUUCAGUUAAUAUCUGUUUGGUUUGACGGUACCAUCAAAGGAAGCACCGGCUAACUCCGUGCCAGCAGCCGCGGUAAUACGGAGGGUGCAAGCGUUGUUCGGAAUUACUGGGCGUAAAGCGCGCGUAGGCGGCUUGUUAAGUCAGAUGUGAAAGUCCACGGCUCAACCGUGGAAGUGCAUUUGAUACUGGCAAGCUUGAGUACUGGAGGGGAUGGUGGAAUUCCCGGUGUAGAGGUGAAAUUCGUAGAUAUCGGGAGGAAUACCGGUGGCGAAGGCGACCAUCUGGCCAGAUACUGACGCUGAGGUGCGAAAGCGUG
This 421-nucleotide ribosomal RNA is filed under the name uncultured Desulfobulbaceae bacterium. Its description in RNAcentral is "bacterial SSU rRNA". It matches the Rfam family "Bacterial small subunit ribosomal RNA", at positions 352 to 763 of the family's 1533-position model. Lineage: Bacteria; Pseudomonadati; Thermodesulfobacteriota; Desulfobulbia; Desulfobulbales; Desulfobulbaceae. The record is from RNAcentral.